RNAcentral lists this unclassified non-coding RNA (205 nucleotides) under plant metagenome. RNAcentral describes it as "partial contains small subunit ribosomal RNA and internal transcribed spacer 1". The record is from RNAcentral.
AAGGUCAUAACAAGGUUUCCUGUAGGUGAACCUGCAGAAGGAUCAUUAUUGAAUUGUUAAAUGGGGAAAUCUUUCCGAGAUUCCUCUACAUUCUUUAUUCCUAACACCUGUGAAUCGUUGCUGAGUUUCGCUCAGUAGCAACAUUUUUUGAUACACACAUAACUAGUUUUAGAACGUAAAAAACUAUUAUAAUAAAAAUUUACAA